Molecule: ribosomal RNA, 700 nt
Filed under: uncultured bacterium
Lineage: Bacteria
Description: bacterial SSU rRNA
Rfam family: Bacterial small subunit ribosomal RNA
Source: RNAcentral
AGAGUUUGAUCCUGGCUCAGGACGAACGCUGGCGGCAUGCCUAAUACAUGCAAGUCGAACGCUUUGAUUUCACCGGGUGCUUGCACCCACCGAAAUCAAGGAGUGGCGGACGGGUGAGUAACACGUGGGUAACCUGCCCAUAAGUGGGGGAUAACAUUCGGAAACGGAUGCUAAUACCGCAUAUUUCUAAUCGCCUCCUGGCGAACUGAAAAAAGGUGGCUUCGGCUACCGCUUAUGGAUGGACCCGCGGCGUAUUAGCUAGUUGGUGAGGUAAUGGCUCACCAAGGCGAUGAUACGUAGCCGACCUGAGAGGGUGAUCGGCCACACUGGGACUGAGACACGGCCCAGACUCCUACGGGAGGCAGCAGUAGGGAAUCUUCCGCAAUGGACGAAAGUCUGACGGAGCAAUGCCGCGUGAGUGAAGAAGGUUUUCGGAUCGUAAAACUCUGUUGUUAGAGAAGAACAAGGAUGAGAGUAACUGCUCAUCCCCUGACGGUAUCUAACCAGAAAGCCACGGCUAACUACGUGCCAGCAGCCGCGGUAAUACGUAGGUGCAAGCGUUGUCCGGAUUUAUUGGGCGUAAAGCGAGCGCAGGCGGUUCUUUAAGUCUGAUGUGAAAGCCCCCGGCUCAACCGGGGAGGGUCAUUGGAAACUGGAGAACUUGAGUGCAGAAGAGGAGAGUGGAAUUCCACGUGUAGCG